UCAAACGAAGAAAGAGCCAGAAUUUUAGCUCGUUUAGCGGGGAUUCUGAAGGCCUUAUGCCAAGGGCCUAAUGAUUUUCUUAACAAUUUGGAAACUGUGCUUAUUGAAGAGUUUAAUGGUAUCCUGGACCAGGAAGCCGUUUUUUGGCACAAAAAAUCUAGGGUGAAGUGGCUUCAAGAGGGUGACCGUAAUACCAAGUUCUUCCACAUGUCUACCAUUAUUAGAAGGAGAAAGAAUAAAAUUGACAGACUCAAGAAUGAUGGUGGAGUUUGGGUGGAAGAGGCUGAAGGUAUUAAAAAUAUGGCUAUGCACUAUUUUUCUGAUUUGUUUUCUCCUGCUCAUGUGCCAACCAGCAGAUUUGCAAUCCCAAAUCUCUUUCCUUGUAUUGAUUCUGGAGAGUUGGUUUCCUUGGCAACUACUGUUGAUAUGGAAGAAGUUAAGGCGAGUCUCUUUGGUGCCUAAAGUGGAAAAUCCUACCUCUAUGAUCAAUUUCGCCCUAUAAGUUUAUGUUGCACUGUCUACAAGGGUCUAAAGGCAAGAAAGGUUUUGUUGCAUGGAAGAUUGAUUUAUCUAAGGCCUAUCUCUUUGUUUUAUGCAUUGAGAAACUGUCCCACUACAUGAUGGUGGAUUCUGUUCGCAAAAAGAAUUGGAAGCCUGUCCAAUCUUCCCAAUCUAGGCCUUUUGUCUCUCACCUCUUCUUUGCAGAGCCUAAUCCUUUUUUCGGAGGCUAGCCCGAAGCAUGCACGGAUCAUGAAAAGAUGUUUGGAUUUGUUUUGCAAGGCUUCGGGUCAUACUGUCAAUGUUGAUGAGGCUAAUCCUUCUAACACCAAGCAAAUCAUCUUAUAGCCGGGGAGAAAAUACAUAUUUUUUUUGGCUUGGGAAUUUCCUGGUACUAGAGUGGUUAAACUGAAUGUGGAUGGUUCUUGCAUACUUGCCUCUUGGAAUAUUGGUGCUGGUGGUAUUCUUCGUGGCUGUGCUGGAGAAUGGAUUAAGGGGUUUGCAGUGAACUUGGGAAAGGGCCAAAUAAUUGAAGCUGAACUAUGGGGCUUAUUUUUUGGUCUUAAAAUGGCUUUGGAUAAAGGUAUCAAUAGGCUCAUCAUUGAAAUGGACUCAGCUCUUGGUGUACAACUUAUCCAAUAAACUGAUGUCUCUCGGUUUCACCCACUUGCUGGUUUGUUGUAGGAUUGCUGCACUCUUCUAAGGCAAUUUGAGAACUAUUGGUUUCACCCACUUGCCGAUUUUUGUACUAGUUACUCACUGUUUUCCUUGAAUAAUAUACUCUCUUUCUUU
Non-coding RNA from Prunus mume (Japanese apricot), 1290 nucleotides. NCBI's taxonomy places the organism in Eukaryota, Viridiplantae, Streptophyta, Magnoliopsida, Rosales, Rosaceae. The record is from RefSeq and is a predicted model, not a curated record.